Molecule: ribosomal RNA, 1351 nt
Filed under: uncultured bacterium
Lineage: Bacteria
Description: bacterial SSU rRNA
Rfam family: Bacterial small subunit ribosomal RNA
Source: RNAcentral
GACGAACGCUGGCGGCGUGCUUAACACAUGCAAGUCGAACGAGAAUCUACUGAAAGAGUUUUCGGACAAUGGAUGUAGAGGAAAGUGGCGGACGGGUGAGUAACGCGUGAGGAACCUGCCUUGAAGAGGGGGACAACAGUUGGAAACGACUGCUAAUACCGCAUGAUGCAUAGGGGUCGCAUGAUCUUUAUGCCAAAGAUUUAUCGCUUCAAGAUGGCCUCGCGUCUGAUUAGCUGGUUGGCGGGGUAACGGCCCACCAAGGCGACGAUCAGUAGCCGGACUGAGAGGUUGAACGGCCACAUUGGGACUGAGAUACGGCCCAGACUCCUACGGGAGGCAGCAGUGGGGAAUAUUGGGCAAUGGGCGCAAGCCUGACCCAGCAACGCCGCGUGAAGGAAGAAGGCUUUCGGGUUGUAAACUUCUUUUAAGAGGGAAGAGCAGAAGACGGUACCUCUAGAAUAAGCCACGGCUAACUACGUGCCAGCAGCCGCGGUAAUACGUAGGUGGCAAGCGUUGUCCGGAUUUACUGGGUGUAAAGGGCGUGCAGCCGGGUCUGCAAGUCAGAUGUGAAAUCCAUGGGCUCAACCCAUGAACUGCAUUUGAAACUGUAGAUCUUGAGUGUCGGAGGGGCAAUCGGAAUUCCUAGUGUAGCGGUGAAAUGCGUAGAUAUUAGGAGGAACACCAGUGGCGAAGGCGGAUUGCUGGACGAUAACUGACGGUGAGGCGCGAAAGUGUGGGGAGCAAACAGGAUUAGAUACCCUGGUAGUCCACACUGUAAACGAUGAAUACUGGGUGUGCGGGGACUGACCCCCUGCGUGCCGCAGUAAACACAAUAAGUAUUCCACCUGGGGAGUACGAUCGCAAGGUUGAAACUCAAAGGAAUUGACGGGGGCCCGCACAAGCGGAGGAACAUGUGGUUUAAUUCGAUGAUACGCGAGGAACCUUACCCGGGCUUGAAUUGCAACUGAAUGAUGUGGAGACAUGUCAGCCGCAAGGCAGUUGUGAAGGUGCUGCAUGGUUGUCGUCAGCUCGUGCCGUGAGGUGUCGGCUUAAGUGCCAUAACGAGCGCAACCCUUAUCGAUAGUUACCAUCAGGUUAUGCUGGGGACUCUGUCGAGACUGCCGUCGUAAGAUGUGAGGAAGGUGGGGAUGACGUCAAAUCAGCACGGCCCUUACGUCCGGGGCUACACACGUGUUACAAUGGGGGGUACAGAAGGCAGCUACACGGCGACGUGAUGCUAAUCCCGAAAGCCUCUCUCAGUUCGGAUUGGAGUCUGCAACCCGACUCCAUGAAGCUGGAUUCGCUAGUAAUCGCGCAUCAGCCACGGCGCGGUGAAUACGUUCCCGGGCCU